RNAcentral lists this ribosomal RNA (1332 nucleotides) under Triticum aestivum (bread wheat). RNAcentral describes it as "partial small subunit ribosomal RNA". The record is from RNAcentral. Lineage: Eukaryota; Viridiplantae; Streptophyta; Magnoliopsida; Poales; Poaceae.
AUGACUUUUGGUUCAGAGAAAGAAAAGCAGCGGCUGGAACUGUCCCUGGCCGGGCCUCUUUUUGUCCUGACCAGCAUUUGUGCCCAACACCCAUCAGGAUGUUCUGGCGUGGUCAAAACUCGGUGCACCACCUGCCGCGGGCAGUCAUCGCACUUGAUGACCGGCAACUGGGAGCCGACGAGUUGGGCUAGUGCUGAGCCCGACCGACGGCUAUGCGUGUCUUUGUCGGUGAGUCGUUGCCAGGUUUGUGCGGUUCGAUACUGGCCAAUCCAUGACAAAACAACUGGAUGCAUUAAACCCAACGAAGGCGGCGAUAGACGUAGGUCGAUCGAUUUAUGCGUCGGUGACAGCGAGAAAGAGAGGCUCAAAUCCGGGUGUGCGAGGACCUCGACGGGGCCUACGAAGCAUCGACAGUGGCGGGUGGUGGUCAGCGGAGGCAGGAAGGAUGAUGCUGGCGCCUGGCGUAGAUGCAGCGCAGAAGUGGGAACGAGGAUCUCCCAACUCGGAAGCAAUGGCCGCCGGUCAUGCCAAGCAGUGGACAAGCAUAGCACGAGGCCGCCGAUGCCGGUGAAUCCCCUCGAACGUGCUCCACAGGCACUCACCAUCUCAACUUCUCAAGUCCACAGGUACCGCGCCCCCUUCAUCUGUAUCUGCGAGUUGGAACUCAGGAUGCCGCCGUCGAGAUCUAGAAAGCGCACUUCGGCGCCGCCGGCCACGACUGCGCGCGCAAGGAGGUGCCGCCGGCCUGCGGCGGUGCCAUUGGACGAUGUCGCUGGCGCAGUGGCGCCCCCGUUUUCUUCCCCCCUCUGGGCGUCGCUCUCAGAGGAUUUGGUUUGCGAGAUAGCCUGGAGAGUGCUCUCGGGCGAUAUUCUGGACUACGUGCGCUUUCGCGCCGUUUGCACCAGCUGGCGGUCUGGCACCGUCUGCCCGCGGGGCCGCGGCGUCGCCGAUCCGCGCUUCUACCCGCGCCGCUGGAUGAUGCUGCCGGAGGGCCAUGGCCUCUACCCCGGCCACAGUGAACCUUUGUCCGACACCGGCAUCCGCCUCGUCCACCCGUUCACCGGCGACAUCGCCGAGCUCCCACCACUCGCCACCCUGCUCGCGCAGCUAAAGAACGACCCAUCGGUCCCUCAUGGUUCUGAUCCUUACUGGCGGUGGUCCUUAAUCAGAUACUGCGUCUGUGCUACCGUGUCCUGCAGUGCCGGAGCCAUCACCGUGAUGCUCGUGUUCCGUCAUCUGCGACGUGUUAGCCUUUGCUACCUCCGAGGACCAAGCAACCAAACGUAUCAACUAGUAUUACAGAUCGAUUACACAUGGAUUGCAGUGAACUGA